UCCGGAAUCAUUGGGCGUAAAGCGCCUGUAGGUUGUUUAAUAAGUCUGUUGUUAAAGACUAGGGCUUAACCCUAGGAAAGCAAUGGAAACUACUAGACUAGAGUAUGAUAGGGGUAGAGGGAAUUUCUAGUGUAGCGGUGAAAUGCGUAGAUAUUAGGAAGAACACCGGUGGCGAAGGCGCUCUACUGGAUCAUUACUGACACUCAGAGGCGAAAGCUAGGGUAGCAAAAGGGAUUAGAUACCCCUGUAGUCCUAGCCGUAAACGAUGGAUACUAGAUGUUGCGUUUUUUGUGCAGUAUCGUAGCUAACGCGUUAAGUAUCCCGCCUGGGGAGUACGCUCGCAAGGGUGAAACUCAAAGGAAUUGACGGGGGCCCGCACAAGCGGUGGAGCAUGUGGUUUAAUUCGAUGCAACGCGAAGAACCUUACCAAGGCUUGACAUACUACAAAUUUCUUUGAAAGAGGAAAGUGCCUUCGGGAAUGUAGAUACAGGUGGUGCAUGGCUGUCGUCAGCUCGUGUCGUGAGAUGUUGGGUUAAGUCCCGCAACGAGCGCAACCCUUGUUUUUAGUUGCCAAUUUUUUGGGUUUUCUAGAAAGACUGCCGGUGACAAACCGGAGGAAGGUGAGGAUGACGUCAAGUCAGCAUGCCCCUUAUGUCUUGGGCUACACACGUGCUACAAUGGUUAAGACAAAGAGUUGCGAACUUGUGAGAGUUAGCUAAUCUCGUAAACUUAGCCUAAGUUCGGAUUGUAGGCUGCAACU
This 760-nucleotide ribosomal RNA is filed under the name uncultured marine haptophyte. RNAcentral describes it as "bacterial SSU rRNA". It matches the Rfam family "Bacterial small subunit ribosomal RNA", at positions 544 to 1312 of the family's 1533-position model. The record is from RNAcentral. Lineage: Eukaryota; Haptophyta.